UACGUAGGGCGCAAGCGUUGUCCGGAAUUAUUGGGCGUAAAGAGCUCGUAGGCGGUUUGUCGCGUCUGCCGUGAAAUUUCGGGGCUCAACCCCGAACUUGCGGUGGGUACGGGCAGACUAGAGUGUGGUAGGGGAGACUGGAAUUCCUGGUGUAGCGGUGGAAUGCGCAGAUAUCAGGAGGAACACCGAUGGCGAAGGCAGGUCUCUGGGCCAUUACUGACACUGAGAAGCGAAAGCAUGGGGAGCGAACAGG
This 253-nucleotide ribosomal RNA is filed under the name uncultured bacterium. RNAcentral's name for it is "partial 16S ribosomal RNA". It matches the Rfam family "Bacterial small subunit ribosomal RNA", at positions 524 to 776 of the family's 1533-position model. The record is from RNAcentral.